UCCUUUUUUGCAACAUGUUUAUUGAGAAGCAACUGCGUUCCUGCCUGCCCAGAGCUCGAAGUGUUAGGGGCACCAGUCUGAUGGAGAUCCGAACAGUGUAGGACCACAGCCCGGCAAAGGGGCACUCAGCGUGGGUUUGGGAUUAAGUGAGAACCACUUACCUUUGCAGCUAGCCUCGAGCCCUGCACCCAGGACCUGAAGCUCAGGGAGGGAGGGAGGCUGUCCAACCGGCAAGGGGCCUGGGCAGAACUUCCUGAGAAGGCUCAAGAAGCCUGGUUCACCACAAUGGUCUGUGGGUGGGUGCCUGCCUUUCCUCAACAUCCUUGGACUGCCAGGUGGCACAUGCCUGUAAACCCAGCACUCAGGAGGCUGAGACAGGAGGACUACCAUGGAGUUCCAGGCCAACCUGGGGUACAUGGUUCAAGGCCAGCCUGAACUACAUAGCAAGACUGUCAACUUCAAAGGAAAAAAAGCCCCCAGACCUCAGUCUAUUUUGUCCACCUGAGAAAUGGGGCUAGGUGCUCUACUAUCUGUGACAACAAGCUGCAGAGAACAAGCAAAAGCACAGCCCUGCCUGGGAGCAGGCAGAACAGCUGCAACUGCCCCACCCACCCUGCCUGCCCGGCCAGGAGUCUGGCAGAGUCCCAGUCCCCUCUGGCCUCAGUGUUUGAUAUGGACCCAGCUCUCAUGGUGAUGGUGAGGCUGAAUCUGUAGCUAAAAAUACCCAGGAGCCCAGCCAGCUGCUCAGUGCUUCCUUGGAGGCCUCGUGGCUGGCACAGGAGCCAGACACACCUGCCCUCCCCAGGCUGCUUCCAAGUGGCAAGGUGUCCCGGGACCCUCACCACCCUCUUGCUCACAAUGGGGUCCUGGAGACAGCGAGCUGGUUCCUGCCACAAGAUCUGCUGGGCCCCAGGAAGGUCGGGGAGAUACCAGGUAGCUUUUGUGGGGCGAGCUCAUGUGUGAUUACCCUGCCACAGGGAGGCCAACGGGGACUCUGAGCCUGGAGAGAAAUGGGCAAAGUCCAGCUACCACAAGCCAGGUGGGGGCUGAUGACGCCCACUUCCGGGGCGUUGGAAACCAUAAAUCAAUUAUUUAACACCCGGCUGGUGAGAGAUAAAAACCCCAGGCCCAGGAAGGAGCCUGGACACCCAAGGGCCCCGAGGGAGGAAAUGGCGACCAGGCCACUUAUCUGCCAAGGUACCUGGCACCUGGCCGCAGGUCUCUGCAAGCCCCAGCGGCCACCAGCACUGGAGGGCAGUGACUUUCCACAGCACAAAGCACUGCCCGCACCCAGCCGCUCGCCACCUGCGGUCACAGGUACUGGGGCUGACGCAGAAGUGGAAGCCAGGAGUUCGGGCAACAAGGCAGGAUCCUAUCUUUUCAACACUUUGGAACGGCUCACAAGGUUACACCCAGUUCUCUGCUCCAGUCCCGCGGGCAGGGGUUGCUGGGGGGUCACAGGCAGCUGGAGAACGCACAGGGUAGGUGACUCCACAACGUUUGGACGCCUCUCUCCUUGGUCCGAGCAGCGGCAGCCAUCUCCACCCCCAGGGUCCUAAAUAAAGGGCUGGGAGAAGCGGGAUGAGCCCUUUCUUUAGCAGAGGACAUUGGUCACUGAAGACCCAGCUGAGAGCCAACGACAGCACGCAGGCUACUUCCAACCCCGCAGCUCCGGGGCCGGGGUGCCAGCAGACGGCGGGCCCAGGGCCAGGGGAGCCCAAAAUAACCCAGACAGCUUCGGCCGGAAGGUGCCACGAGCCCGGGCUCCGGGUGAAGACACCUGGAGCUUGGGUGCUAGUGGUGGCCUCGCGUGGCUGAUCCCAAAUCAGGCCUCGGCCUCUAGCGAGACUCUAACAACAGGGAAGGAGGAGGAGCCGAGCAGCCGACUGACAGCCCCUCCCCUGCCCGAGGCCGGGCCACGUGCUGGGGGGUGGGGUGGGCGGGGAUCCGGAGACGGGGGGGGGGCCUCCCCGCGCUGCCACUCCCCGCACCCGGAGCUCACGAAGGCCCAGUGGUGCGGGCCGCUUGGAGGCUGGCCGGUAAUCGCGCUUAAUCCUCCCACCACCCUCUCGGCAAGCCUCGCCACGGCCACUCUCCGGCAGAGACACCCGCCCAAGGUCACCGGCGUCCACAUUCCAACCCACGGCAGCCUGGCCCAGGUGCCCCUCGGUUGAGCACGCAGGUGCCUGCAACAAAGCCUGCCCGGCUCCCCCAGGCCACAGCUCGGCGGUCAUGCUGGUUUGGGGGGGCAGGGCGGCAGCGAGAUCGGCGCCACCUGGACCCAAAUGGCUCGGUCAAAGUAAUCGCAAACUAGGGCUCACGUGGGGACAGGGCGUAGAGAUCAAGGGCCACGCCAUCUCCAGCUGCGGAGCUUCUUGGACACGAGGAGGGCGCGAAUUACGCGAGGUCGGCUUGUGUAAGAACAAGAGCCGCACUGAGCAGGAAGCCACUGCUAUGUGCCCAGCGCCUACCUCCCAGCCCAGAGGAGCUCAGAACACAACACGGGACCUUGUUAGAAAUCCAAGUUCUCAGGUUCCACCUGCUGAAUCGAGAACUCGGGGCCAGGGGCCCUUUGCAAGAGGUGGAUUCUGAUACCGGCUCGAGACAGACUAGCCACCCCAGCUCCAUUUUGUAGAUGGGGAAGCCGGGGCUCACGAGACCCAGCAGCUUAAGCAAGGUCACAGCUGGUCAGAGGCAGCUGAGGUUUCACAGGGAAACCAGGCCACAUGCGCUUGCUCAUUUAGGGAAGCAGGAGGAAACUGGGAAUCCCAGGACAGGGAGGACAGUCAAGGAAACCUCUUUGUCCAGGAAAGCUGGCCCAGAUCUCUGGUUCUCGUGUUCUUUGCCUCUCUAGCACCCGGACAUAAGAGGGUGGUUGCUCUACAGUCACCCUAAAAUCCCCCACGGGGGCUGGAAGGCAGGGCAGCAGCACCUGGGCUUCCAGGCAGUGGCCUGUGCCUUUCAGAAGGCACCCAGAGCCAGCCCCCCCCGCCAAAAAACCCCGAUACUUGUUAGCCUGGCCUCUAGUAAGCAGCUAAAUUCGGCAGAGAAUUGCCCGCCCCAAAUGCCUGACAACAGAAGCUGGCAGGCGGAGCUGAAGUGCCCCAGCAGGCCGCCCAUUUCACACUCAGCCGCCACAUCUGUGUGGGGGAGGGGCUGCAGAACCAGCCCGGCAGGUGGGGGACACCCGCCCUCCCCUGGGCUGCAGGCCAGAGCUCCUCAGUCUCCCUCACAGCCAGGCACAGGGCUGUCACCUACCUUUGACGGGAGGAUUGUCAAACUAGGCCUGCUCCUGCUGUCCAAGGGAAGGAAGGGUUGUCCACUCCGCGGGUAACCGGUUGUUGCCCCUUCUCCAGCCAAGAACCUGGGGAAAGAAUGUGGAAGGCCUGUCAGGGCAGCCCCCAGCUUGUGGGUCAGAGACUGUGACUGUCCAAAUGCAAACCUGUCGGUAUCCUAGACAGACUCGCCAACGCCACCCCCCUUGCACAGCUGCCAAGGCGGCCCUCAGGGUGGAAUGGAUUGGGGUGGGGGUGAGCCACGAAGAGUUCAGCCCAGGCGAGGAGUGGCGGGAGGCGACUCAUCUGCAUUUCCAAAGGCCCGCCCCGUCAGCAUCCCCUCCCCCAGUAAGGCCGAGAUCUGAGGCGCUACCGCAGGGUCGGGGCUGGCUCGGGGAUCCCGGAGUGGGGGUGGCUGGCGGGUGGGGAGGCCCACUCGGCUUUCCUAGGCCCCAACCCCCACCAGCAGCCCCAAGGGCUGGGAUGGAGGGGUGUGCCCUGGGCGGCCAAAUGGGGCAUCUGCGGCCACAGCGAGGCCCUCCAGGCCCCAAGUGGGAACAAAAGGGGACACCCGCCCCUGUGGCUCGGCCCUCCAGGGGGCGAUCGGAAGGCGGGGCCGGUGGGCAGCGGGGGUGGGGGUGGGGUGGCCUGGGGAGCCCUUGACGAUGGCUUCCGCCUGCCAGCGAGGUCCCCGAGUCCAGGACGCCACGGUGACCAGGGUCCCCGCCUCCUCGGCCGCAGGCGGCGCGCGCCGCUCCCGAGGCCCGCGGACCCCGGAGCGGCCGGGGCAACCCCUCCCCGGGUCCCCAACGACACCCAGGAGGAAGGUGGACGAGGCGGGCCGGCGCCGUAGGCGCCGCAGCCCUGCCCAGCUGGCCAGCCCGCCCGCCAGCCAGUCAUGGCCCCGGCCCCGGCCCCGGCCCAGCCCGCGGCUCUGAGCUGGAAACCUGAAAAUAAAACUCGUGUCGGGGAGGGAGGCGAGGGCGCGGGCGGCGAGGUGCUGCGUCAUGGUGCCAACAUGGACGCCGGCCUUUGUCCUGCCUCGCCCGGGAAGCACGCGCGCCCCCGAGCCCCGACCAGCCGGCUUCGGGGUGCAAGGUCCCCCACAGCCAGAAGGAGAGGGCGCCCCAAGCCAGGUGGGGAGGCUCCCUCGUCUUUUAGGCACCCCCCUCUCCAAAGUACUUCAGUAUCUCCUCCCCUCCAAGGCUCAGGUCUGGGGACAGCCAAGGAAUAGCUCCACGCCGCUCGAGGGUCGCUGGGGAGACCCUCUUCUCGCCUUUGGGGCACAAGAGGACAAAAAAGGGGGGGGAUUUGACGACCCCUCCUCAUUCUCCCUCCCCGGCCUUCCCCGGCUGCCAAACACAAAGGUCCAGAAACCAUUUCCCCUCAGCGCCCAAACAUUGCAGCCCUGGCCUGCUCGGUAAACGUUCCUCCAGGGGGUAAAAACUACUAUUUUAUUUUAUUUUUUUUUACUUACCCGCUCAGCCCGGUGCCAUGGAGUCUAGAAGAUGAAGCUGGGCGGUGGUUUUGGAGAUGUUAUAAAAUAUAUAUACAUAUAUUUUGGAUUGUUUAGUUGGGAAAAAUGGGGGUUAUGGUGUUGGCUUUUUGUUGUUGUUACCUUUUAGUAAGUUACACUCUUAUGGCAUUUUUCUGCUCCUUCCACGUCUGCAACCUUUCCAGAGUUGGGUUGGCAAAAAGGCGGCUUCGCUGAGGACUGUUUACUGCUCUGGAUAUAGCAAUGGUGUGACCGUCAUUAAGAGACAAAAGGCGAAAACACACAGUCAAAUCAAACAAAAGGCAAAAGGCGCACCAGCCAUCCCAACCACCAUAGAAAAUACGACCGAGUUAUCGUUGGUGUUUGGCUUGAACCAGCUAGGACUUGUUUUCCAGCUUUAAUCUAGUUUCCUGUGACGGUUUUCGUCUUUCUACACAAAGAGAAGGUCUUCCUUUUUCUAACCAUCCCCCCUCCACCACCACCAAGACGAGAAAAACAGAGCUGUUUUUCUUCAAAUAGAUCGAUUUUCAAAGAGUGUAAACGUUACUGGGAAGGCUGACUAGCAUUUAUUGCUAUAAACAUUUUCAAAAGCUUGAAGCUAAAACCUUAAGCUUUAUAUAAGCAAAAUCGUCUAAAAAGCAUUUUCACUGGCUCAUAUUAGACAAGAGACAAAGACAGACAUGCAGAUGAAGGUUCAGAAAAUUAAGGACAGCUCAGCCAACAUUAACAAGAAAACUGCACUGCAUAAGGACAGAAUGGAUUGGGUACUUACAAUGUAAAAGGUUUUUAGAAACUUAAGAGUAACGACUGCUCACACAUUUUUUUGUUGCUGCCAUUUCGCUAGUCCUAAAACUAUACAUUUAAAACAUUACCUUGUUAAAAAGAGAGGAGUUAUUAAGAUGGCCAGGUUUAAGUGUUUAAUAGAGGAAACUAUAUUUAAAAAUUUAUUGUUCAGUCAAGAGAAUACAGAUUAAGACAGCGCCAAGCUCCCCCCACCCACCCAAGAAAAAAAAGAGGAAAAAAAUUAAAUGUCAUUUACUUAGGUUUUUUGGAAUUCAAAACUGUUAACUGCUGACAUUAAUGGUGUGCUAUGACCUAGUUAUACAAGACAAAGAUGGAUUCCAAGUCAUAAGGAAAAAUCCAGAUCUUUUUAAAAGGUCUUCUUCAUUCUUCCAAUUUUGAGUCCUUUAGCCUGUUGACAAAUGUUAAACAACACAUGCAAGCGUCCUGAACUGGAUGGUGGAGUCAAAGGAAAAACAUUCCCCACUCGCAACAAAGGAAAAACCCACUUGGCCAUUUAAUUCCAUUGCAGAAAAAUGGCUCCCCUCAUCUGUUGGCCUCUCCUUGGUGUCUGAUGAAGGAUGUUUUGAGAUCAGCGUCUAAUAACUCAAACCCUAUAGAAGCCGAGCGCUGAUUGGCUGCCGCGCCCUGCCGCUCAGCUCCAGCCAAUUACCUACCCACGGCCAAAUUACAAACCCCGAAAAGAGCCCCAAUAUGAAAUACACCGCCACGAAGCCCCAGUCAGGCGGCUCCUUCGCCUUGGCCGCCCGAGAAGAGAGGCAGAGGGGGCUGUGAACGCGUCCUCGCCAAGCCCGGGAGCCUCGGAGUUGAACUCACAAGAUGGAAGCCGCGCGCUGAUUGGCCGCCGCCACUCCCGGACCUUUAAUAAAGAAAGGGGAAGGGAAAGAAAUGCAAAAAAGGGGGGGACUCUGUCGCUGGUGGCUGGAGGAAAGAGGUGGGGUGGUGGUGGAGAAGAGAAGCAUGUGUUCAGGACAAUUACAGGGCUGUUCCUCUUCAAAAAUAAAAACAGAAAGAAAGAAAAAGCUUCCAUCACCCAGUUCCAGGCGAGGGCUGCAACCUUCCCAGGCAUGCGAAUGCUAAUACGGUUC
This 6659-nucleotide long non-coding RNA is filed under the name Heterocephalus glaber (naked mole-rat). Its description in RNAcentral is "lncRNA (ENSHGLG00100037163.1)". The record is from RNAcentral. Lineage: Eukaryota; Metazoa; Chordata; Mammalia; Rodentia; Bathyergidae.